UUAUUCUCAUUUGCUCCAUUUACUUUUUUUUUUUUUUAAGUGAGAGAUUCUGUAUUUUUUUUCUGACUUCAGAAUGGAUUGCUUGCAUUUUUCUGAAAGCCUCAAAGAGUCAGAAAGGAAAAGUCCACCACCUCAUUCCCAGACAACUGGUUUUGGCUCACAGUAUUUGUGCUUUUUGUGUCCACCUUGCUUUACGUUCCAUUUCAGUGUUGACCUGUGUGGAUGUCUAUGCAGCUGUCUCUCCUCAGGGUUUGUAUGUCCGUGAUUCAUGCUUUCUGGAGCACUUUGUGGGUUCAGGUUGUACACUUGAAGACAAGAGGGAAAGAACAGGCUCUGAGAGUAGAAAUUUUGGUUCAGUACAUGAAGAUACCGGAUAUGAACUUCUGUACAAGGUUCAGAUUUCUCCCACCUGAACACCUAGAGGCCCUAGGGAAAUCAAGGGCAGGAGAGACUAUUUCUAGGGUACCAUGUCAACUCUGUGCAGUGCAGGAAUGAACUUUGAGUCAGAAAAUUUUGUGUUUGUCUCAGCCACAUAUGAGUGCGCAACUGGAUUUAGCAUGACCAUGAGAGCACGUUUCCCACCUUCCUUGGUGGGGUUAUGAGUGUCCGUGUAGGGUCACAUUGUGAUUUAGUGGCUCUCGGCAGUGCACGUCAUUAUGUAGAGAGGAAAAAACAACUGCAGCUUGAAAGCUUAGGUCUCCGUCCUGGGAUGAGAUGUUUUCUCCCCCUGCAGUGCAGAUGCAUGGGGUCCCUGUCUCCCCUGGACGAUUAGCUUGAGGCUAAGUGGGUUCAGAAGAUGGCACUCAUUUCCUGGGCUGGAGAGACCAAUGUUGAAUCAUUUUGUUUGCUUUUUAUUAACAAAAUGAGAGUUUAUUCCAUUCCUUAGAAACGUGGUUCAGUAAUGAAAAGUUCUCAGUCCCUGAUCAAGUUCUCUUUUUAUGAAGAUAAAGGAGAAGGAAACAAGGUGAGGAAAGAUAAGAGGGAAAAAGAAUUUGUAUAUUGGCUUAGGGUGCCUUCUGAAACAAGGAAUACUUAGGAUACUUGGGAAUUGGACAUUAGAGGCAGAACGGAGGGUGGAGAGUGGUGGGGAACAGAAAGUGAUUCACAGAAAACUGUCUGCACAUUGGGAAGGACAUAUGCAGGUGACCUGGUGUUAUGUUAGGGUCUGAGGGCCAGCAUAUAACACACUAGAGGAAACUCCUGGGUGCUUGUUGGACGGGCCCUUGGUCAUUAAGGUCAUUUGCUCUGAGGCAAAUCCUGCAACUCUCUAGGCAACACUUUUUUGGGGGAUUAGCCAAUGGUACUGAAGGUGUGAUUCCUGGACUGGCAGGUUCUACAUCACUUGGGAACUUGUUAGAAAUGAAACCUUUCAAGCCCUACCGACAGGUCUCCUGCAUUUGAGCCUCUGGGGAUGGGCGGGUUGCUCUGGCUGAUUCUGACACAAAUGCCACAAUCUGGGCUCAGGACGUGGGAGCACCCUCCAGCUUGUGUCAAAUGGGAAAUCCUGAAGCUUACACUGAGUACCUUAUCUUCCUAGAAGUUGGAAAUCAGCUAAGUAGGUUUGUACUUUCAAUAGAAACAAUGCAUAUUGAAUAUUUUUUCAAGUUUUUAUUUAAAUUCCAGUUAGGUCACAUAUAGUAUAAUACUAGUUUCAGGUGUAGAAUUUAGUGAUUCAUAUUAAAUAUUUGUGUGCAUUUAGGGAUUGGCUAUGAGUUCAGCCUUAAUAUGUAAUUUUAAGUUGAACUCUCAGACCACUGUGACUGAUCUUCAGAGCUGCUACAAAAACCACAGCAUACUAAUUCCUGCUAUGAAUGAGUUUUCUCCAAUGGAACAACCUGUUACCACCCAUUCUAGCAGCUAUUUCUUCUCAUGCAAGGACUAAAAGGGGGCAUUUACACCAUUUUUGGUUCAUACUUGCAUCAGAGCUAUCAUUCACUCAUUUAUAUCUUUUAAAAGUACAAUCUUCAUUUUACCUGUUUCCAGAGAACACUUUUCCUUCAGUCCUUGAAGACUUGGCUCCUUAUGUGGGCUUUGGUGGAAGUUUGGGGCAGCAGCCGUGGGUCUAAAUCGGUCCUUCUGGAGGGCGGUGCCCGACUACCCUGCUGUGAAUGGCAAGGCUCACACAGGAAAGGGUUCACACACAGCUUGGCACACCUAGACAGCCAAGACGCUUGCUUCGGAAAUGUCCCUGAUGGCGGUGGCUUCUGUGCUGAACAACGACCUUCUUAAUGUGUCCCUGGGCACGCCGGGUGCAGCUGGUGCAGCGGGAGGCUGCACGCAGCCCUGGUCCUUUUGGGCACCACCGUUAUUCCUCUUUUUCUUGGUCAUCUUGGAAACGAGGACCCCAGAAGUGCCUCAGAGCUUUCAAAAAACAUUUGAUGGAGACAUGAAAAUAACUUAAUGGCCUUCUUUUGGAAGACUUAUCUCAGAUUUAGCUAAACUGGAUUUUUUAACGAUCAGGACUUUUCAGGUACCUUUGCAACUUGCCAUGAGCCCCACUCCCCAUGUGUGAUCACUUUGAAUAAUUCUGCAAGAUGCUACAUAAGGUCUGAUUCGUGGACAGCCUCGUCACCCGCUGACAGGCGGGCUCCUCUCGACAGCACCAUAUGCCGUAGGGUGGGCAAUAUGGAUUACUGGGUCAGGGAGACCUGCACCCUGCGCUGUGCAUGCAGGUGCGUGCGUCUUGUACAAAGGCAAGCCCUGCAUCUCCACCUCCUUCACCAGCAGCUCCAUGUCCUUGGAAUGUGCAGGGGACAGGCCAGCUAUUGGAGUUUCCCCAACUGUAAACUUGAAAAGCCACUGAAAGGGUUAGGUUGAUGAAUGCCUGUAGAAAGCACAUUUCUUCCAGGAAUUAUUGGUGCUCGCUGCUACCACCAUAACAUCCGUGACGACUGGGUCGAGUCACGCGCGGGGUGUGGGCGAUCAAAACAAAAGGGCGGAGUCUCCGUUCCCUCCUGACCUUCGGCCGGACUCCAGCCGACGAGCGCCGCGCAGGGCGCCCGGGGCUACAGCGUGACGGCCGGGCCGUGCUCCUC
Molecule: long non-coding RNA, 3035 nt
Organism: Mirounga angustirostris (Northern elephant seal)
Lineage: Eukaryota; Metazoa; Chordata; Mammalia; Carnivora; Phocidae
Exons: 3
Source: RefSeq, a predicted model, not a curated record